Molecule: unclassified non-coding RNA, 3068 nt
Filed under: Melitaea cinxia (Glanville fritillary)
Lineage: Eukaryota; Metazoa; Arthropoda; Insecta; Lepidoptera; Nymphalidae
Description: misc RNA ENSMCXG00005005950.1
Source: RNAcentral
AUUGAUGUUUCUCUUUCAGGUGAGACGAUAGCUCUGUGCGAGCUACAAUGCGAUCUUCUCCCUCACAAAUUCUACUUUGUAAGUUACUUUCUUUUAAUACAGUGAAAAUUUUGCUUUUUGUAAAUUUGAUAUUUUACUAAUUGAUGGUUCUCUUUCAGGUGAGAAGAUAGCUCUGUGCGAGCUACAAUGCAAACUACGCACUCACAAAUAUUUUUUUGUAAGUUACUGUCUAUUAUUACAGUGAAAUUUUUACCUUUUGUAGUUUUGAUGUUUUGCUAAUUGAUUCUUCUCUUUCAGGUGAACGAUAGCUCUGUGCGAGCUACAAUGUGAUCUACGCGCUGUAAAAUUCUACUUUGUAAGUUACUUUCUGCUAAUACAGUGAAAAAAUUACUUAUUGUAGAUUUGAUAUUUUACUAAUUGAUGAAUCUGUUUCAGGUGACACGAUAGGUCUGUGCGAGGUGCAAUGCCAUCUACGCGCUCAAAAAUUCUACUUUGUAAGGCACUUUCUUUUGAUACAGUGAAAAUUUUACUUUUUGUAGAUUUGGUAUUUUACUAAUUGAUGGUUCUCUUUCAGGUGAGACGUAAGCUCUGUGUGGGCUACAUUGUGAUCUACGCCCUCACAAAUUCUACUUUGUAAGUUACUUUCUUUUAAUACACUUAACAUUUUACUUUUUGUAGAUUUGAUAUUUUACUAAUUGAUGGUCCUCUUUUAGGUGAGACGUUACCUCUGUGCAAGCUAUAUUGUCAUAUACGCCCUCACAAAUUCUACUUUGUAAGUUACUUUCUUUUAAUACAGUGAUAAUUUUAGUUCUUGUAGAUUAGAUAUUUUACUAAUUGGUGGUUCUCUUUCAGGUGAGACUUUAGCUCUGUGCGGGCUACAUUGUGAUCUACGCCCUCACAAAUUCUACUUUGUAAGUUACUUUCUUUUAAUACAGUGAAAAUGUUACCUUUUGUAAUUUUGUUUUUUUACUAAUUGAUGGUUCUGUUUCAGGCGACACAAUAGCGCUGUGCGAGCUUCAAUGCGUUCUUCGCCCUCGCCAAUUCUACUUUGUAAGUUACUUUCUUUUAAUACACUGAUAAUUUUAGUUCUUGUAGAUUUGAUAUUUUACUAAUUGGUGGUUCUUUUUCAGGUGAGACGUUAGCUCUGUGCGAGCUAUAAUGCUAUCUACGCCCUCACAAAUUCUACUUUGUAAGUUACUUUCUUUUAAUACAGUGAAAAUGUUACCUUUUGUAAUUUUGUUUUUUUACUAAUUGAUGGUUCUGUUUCAGGCGACACAAUAGCGCUGUGCGAGCUUCAAUGCGUUCUUCGCCCUCGCCAAUUCUACUUUGUAAGUUACUUUCUUUUAAUACACUGAUAAUUUUAGUUCUUGUAGAUUUGAUAUUUUACUAAUUGGUGGUUCUUUUUCAGGUGAGACGUUAGCUCUGUGCGAGCUAUAAUGCUAUCUACGCCCUCACAAAUUCUACUUUGUAAGUUACUUUCUUUUAGUACAGUAAAUAUUUUACUAUUUGUAGAUUUGAUAUUUUACUAAUUGGUGGUUCUCUUUCAGGUGAGACGUUAGCUCUGUGCGAGCUACAAUGCCAUCUACGGCCUCACAAAUUCUACUUUGUAAGUGACUUUCUUUUAAUACACUGAUAAUUUUAGUUUUUAGAUUUGAUAUUUUACUAAUUGAUGGUUCUCUUUCAGGUGAGACGUAAGCUCUGUGUGGGCUACAUUGUGAUCUACGCCCUCACAAAUUCUACUUUGUAAGUUACUUUCUUUUAAUAAACUUAACAUUUUACUUUUUGUAGAUUUGAUAUUUUACUAAUUGAUGGUCCUCUUUUAGGUGAGACGAUAGCUCUGUGUGAGCUGCAAUGCGAUCUACGCCCUCACAAAUUCUAUUUUGUGAGUUACUUUCUUUUAGUACAGUGCAACUUUUAUUUUUUCUCGUUUUGAUAUUUUACUGAUUGAUGCUUCUCUUUCAGGUGACACGAUAGCUCUGUGCGAGCUGAAAUGCAACCAACACCCACAUAAAUUCUACUUUGUAAGUUACUUUCUUUUAAUACAGUGAAAAUUUUGCUUUUUGUAAAUUUAAUAUUUUACUAAUUGAUGGUUCUCUUUCAGGUGAUACGAUAGCUCUGUGCGAGCUACAAUGCGAUCUUCGCCCUCACAAAUUCUACUUUGUAAGUUACUUUCUUUGAAAAGAGUGAAAAUUUUACUUUUUGUAGAUUUGAUAUUUUACUAAUUGGUGGUUUUCUUCUAGGUGAGACGAUAGCUCUGUGCGAGCUACAAUGCGAUCUUUGCCAUCACAAUAUCUACUUCGUAAGUUACUUUCUUUUAAUACACUGAAUAUUUUAUUUUUUGUAAUUGUGCUAUUUUACUAAAGGGUGGUUCUGUUUCAGGUGACACGAUAGCGCUGUGCGAGCUACAAUGCGAUCUACGCCCACACAUAUUCUACUAUGUAAGUUAGUUUCUUUUAAUACAGUGAAAAUGUUACAUUUUGUUAUUUUGCUAUUUUACUAAUUGAUGGUUCUCUUUCAGGUGAGACGUUAGCUCUGUGCGAGCUACAAUGCGAUCUUCGCCCUCACAAAUUCUACUUUGUAAGUUACUUUCUUUUAAUACAGUAAAAAUUUAUUUUUUGUACAUUUGAUAUUUUACUAAUUGAUGGUUCUCUUUCAGGUGAGACGUUGGCUCUGUACGAGCUACCAUGCGAUCUACGCCCUCACAAAUUCUACUUUGUAAGUUACUUUCUUUUAAUACAUCAGUAUUACAGCCUAUACAGUCCACUGCUGGACAUAGGCCUCCACAAGUUUACGCCAAAAAUAACGUGAACUCGUGUGUUUUGCCCAUAGUCACCACGCUGGGUAGGCAGGUUGGUGACCGCAGUACUGGCUUUGUCGCACCGAAGACGCUGCUGCCCGUCUUCGGCCUGUGUAUUUCAAAGCCAGCAGUUGGAUGGUUAUUCCGCCAUCGGUCGGCUUCUUAAGUUCCAAGGUGGUAGUGGAACCUUGUUAUCCCUAAGUCGCCUCUUACGACACCCACGGGAAGAGAGGGGGUGGCUAAAUUCUUUAGUGCCGUAGCCACAAGGCAC